RNAcentral lists this ribosomal RNA (498 nucleotides) under uncultured bacterium. RNAcentral describes it as "partial 16S ribosomal RNA". It matches the Rfam family "Bacterial small subunit ribosomal RNA", at positions 30 to 507 of the family's 1533-position model. The record is from RNAcentral.
CGAACGCUGGCGGCGUGCUUAACACAUGCAAGUCGAACGGGUCUGCCCUGUUUUUUGCGGGGUGGGUCAGUGGCGAACGGGUGAGUAACACGUGAGUAACCUGCCCCUCACUUCUGGAUAACCGCUUGAAAGGGUGGCUAAUACGGGGUGUUCUGGCUGUGCCGCAUGGUGUGGCUGGGAAAGAUUCACUUUUGUGGUGUUUUGGUGGGGGAUGGGCUCGCGGCCUAUCAGCUUGUUGGUGGGGUGAUGGCCUGCCAAGGCUUUGACGGGUAGCCGGCGUGAGAGGGUGGGAGGUCACACGGGGACGGAGAUACGGCCCAGACUCCUGCGGGAGGCAGCAGUGGGGGGUAUUGCACAAUGGGCGGAAGCCUGAUGCAGCGACGUCGCGUGAGGGAUGGAGGCCUUCGGGUUGUGAACCUCUUUCGCCGGUGAAGAAGGUCCUGCUCUUUGUGGUGGGGUUGACGGUAGCCGGGUUAUGAAGCGCCGGCUAACUACGUG